This 74-nucleotide transfer RNA is filed under the name Alkalinema sp. RU_4_3. Its description in RNAcentral is "tRNA-Cys". It matches the Rfam family "tRNA". From Rfam's summary of the family: Transfer RNA (tRNA) molecules are approximately 80 nucleotides in length. Their secondary structure includes four short double-helical elements and three loops (D, anti-codon, and T loops). Further hydrogen bonds mediate the characteristic L-shaped molecular structure. tRNAs have two regions of fundamental functional importance: the anti-codon, which is responsible for specific mRNA codon recognition, and the 3' end, to which the tRNAs corresponding amino acid is attached (by aminoacyl-tRNA synthetases). tRNAs cope with the degeneracy of the genetic code in two manners: having more than one tRNA (with a specific anti-codon) for a particular amino acid; and 'wobble' base-pairing, i.e. permitting non-standard base-pairing at the 3rd anti-codon position. The record is from RNAcentral. Lineage: Bacteria; Bacillati; Cyanobacteriota; Cyanophyceae; Leptolyngbyales; Leptolyngbyaceae.
GCCUGAGUCGCCAAUGAUAAGGCGGCGGUCUGCAAAACCGUCCAUCGCGGGUUUGAUUCCCGCCUCAGGCUCCA